ACUUGCUUAACCUAAAAGUACAAUAAUCACUGGUCACUGAAUAAUCACUGGUAUAGAAUACCUAAAUCGUCAUUCAGUUGCGCUCCAAACAGUAGUUUAAGUUUAAGCAGAGGAAGUAACUACAUAUAAUUGGCGAGCAUUUAGUAGAUUUUAUGAGUAUUAGAUUAUUAUAAAGAUUAACCUUUUCAAUAAUUGCAGCAACAACAACAACAACUAAGAAAACACGCCGGUGAUGUAAUGACACCGAAAUGCCCAAAAAACGGGCUUAACUCAAACGCCGUCGAGAUGGAAACUAAACAAAAACUGCACCAACGGAUAAUACUUACUCAUUGGGUGGUAAAUGGGCUUCUGGAGGCCCAUUAAAUGCGAUUUAACCAGUUUUGCCGACUCGAAUGGAUUCUGCCAGGUGCAAUCGUAAAUGUGCCAAGUGCGCGCGAACGUUGCCCAUUGCUAAAUUCGAAGGAAAUUGAAUGAUUACCUAUUGCACUUUGAGGGUAAUGAGCUUACGUACCUGCACACGCUUCGCAAUGGACAUUUUGUGUGAUUUUUAAUUAAACAAUUUAACUUUAGCGAAAAUAAAUAAUUUCUCAGCUGGCAGUCAGUGUGACCAAGGUCUCACCCAUGGAAGCAGUAGAGACAUAUUCCAAUUGGAUUCAUAUUACACAUUCCCGUGACUCAACCCGCAUGUAAGCAGUUAGCAAAUUGUGCUAAGCAGGAACACCUUUUAGCAUUGCAAGCAGUGUUUCACGUAAUUCAAAAAUGAUUU
Long non-coding RNA from Drosophila sechellia, 766 nucleotides. RefSeq lists it as uncharacterized. The record is from RefSeq and is a predicted model, not a curated record. NCBI's taxonomy places the organism in Eukaryota, Metazoa, Arthropoda, Insecta, Diptera, Drosophilidae. The transcript is spliced from 3 exons.